Molecule: ribosomal RNA, 275 nt
Filed under: uncultured bacterium
Lineage: Bacteria
Description: partial 16S ribosomal RNA
Rfam family: Bacterial small subunit ribosomal RNA
Source: RNAcentral
CCCGCCGGCGACCGGCGCACGGGUGAGUAACACGUAUGAAACCUGCCCGUAGCAGGGGGAUAAGCGGAAGAAAUUCCGUCUAAUACCGCGUAACAACCCCAUGGAGGCAUCUCUGUGGGUUUAAAGGAAGCGAUUCCGGCUACGGAUGGUCAUGCGUCGCAUUAGCUUGUUGGCGGGGUAACGGCCCACCAAGGCGACGAUGCGUAGGGGUUCUGAGAGGAAGGUCCCCCACACUGGUACUGAGACACGGACCAGACUCCUACGGGAGGCAGCAG